AUACGGAGGGUGCGAGCGUUAAGCGGAAUUACUGGGCGUAAAGCGUACGUAGGCGGUUGGUUAAGUUAGAUGUGAAAGCCCCGGGCUUAACCUGGGAACUGCAUUUAAAACUGGCGAACUAGAGUUGAGUAGAGGGGAGUGGAAUUUCAGGUGUAGCGGUGAAAUGCGUAGAGAUCUGAAGGAACACCAGUGGCGAAGGCGACUCCCUGGACUCGAACUGACGCUGAGGUACGAAAGCGUGGGUAGCAAACGGGAGUAGAAACCCCAGUAGUCC
RNAcentral lists this ribosomal RNA (274 nucleotides) under uncultured bacterium. Its description in RNAcentral is "partial 16S ribosomal RNA". It matches the Rfam family "Bacterial small subunit ribosomal RNA", at positions 523 to 796 of the family's 1533-position model. The record is from RNAcentral.